CUCAGCCAAUUUCCACUCUUGUCAUUGAUGUCAUUCUCAAGUAUGUCCAGCUCCGUCAAGUUCCUGACACCAAAUUACAAAUGUGGGAUCUCAGCAAGGAUGUGACGUGCCAACGACCAUAUGACAGAAAAAAGCAGGUUCGAUGUCGCAUCCAA
Molecule: non-coding RNA, 155 nt
Organism: Cucurbita pepo subsp. pepo (vegetable marrow)
Lineage: Eukaryota; Viridiplantae; Streptophyta; Magnoliopsida; Cucurbitales; Cucurbitaceae
Source: RefSeq, a predicted model, not a curated record